UUUGUUGUCAAUGUUGAAGUAGGUGGUUGGCUGGUUGUAGGUUGAUUUGGGAUUUGACUGAUGAGAUCAAACAAGACUUGGUCAUUUGUAUCAGUCUCCAAGCCACUUGCACCAAAAACUGCUUCAGGUGUGAAAUUGGACUGCUGAGGUUGGGACUGCUUGUUUGCACCAGGAUUCAUAGUGUUGGGAGUCUGCUGUUGUGAUUGAGAGCCACUUGCACCAAAACUGCUUCAGGUGUGAAAUUGGACUGCUGAGGUUGGGACUGCUUGUUUGCACCAGGAUUCAUAGUGUUGGGAGUCUGCUGUUGUGAUUGAGAGCUACUUGUAACCGCAGCAGCUUGUUGCUGGACAUUCUCUUGAUCAUGACUGUUUGGACACUUCCUACUAUUGUGGCCCUUCUGUUUACACUUUCU
Molecule: long non-coding RNA, 412 nt
Filed under: Coffea arabica (coffee)
Lineage: Eukaryota; Viridiplantae; Streptophyta; Magnoliopsida; Gentianales; Rubiaceae
Description: long non-coding RNA (CARA_LNC005800)
Source: RNAcentral